CGGCCGUUCUGCCAGGGCCCGUGUUUAGUUUUGUCCCUUUUGUCACCGCUUCGUUUUUUUAAUUAUUAUUAUUUAUUAUUCUAGAAUCUUGUUAGCACAUCUGUAGAGCUCUUCCUUUCGCGUUGCCUCCUGCUUCUGAAGCGCUGCUGCAGUUGGCGUUCUGGCAGCCUCUGCUUUACGAGCGUGACCCAAACCGCUGGGCCGCAAAUGAGAGCUGAGCGAAACGCCGCCGGGUUCCUUCAGAGACACCUCUCAGCUGUGCCCGCGGUGGGCAGGUGCUCGGCCCCGGAGCCCCGCACAGCACAGAGCAGUCGUGAGGGAGCACCACGGCAGGGCGCCGUGCAGAUCCCUGCUCACAGCACAGAGCCUCAGAAGGCUGAGAAGCGUCAGAAGUGCAGCUCGUAGAGAGGAGCACACAGCUGGCACCCUGAUGUCUUGAGCCAGCCCAGCUCUGCUGGAACUGCAGGUGUCAGCGCUGCUGGGGACAGUCACGACACAAAGCCCAGGCCUGGCACCAGGGCUUGCUGAGUCACAGCCGGCCCUGCGCUGUGUGAGCCACCAGGGACACGAGGGACACAGCACCCAGGACCUCACUGGAAAGGGCCAAGCUGUACCUGCCCUCAGCCCCACCGCUUCAGGGGAUCCUCAGCAGCACAGGCCUGGAUGGACCCCUCCAAACUGGCUGAUGGGCCGGGUCAGCUGCUCUCUACCAGGUCAGUGUGAUCCCUUCAAGAAAAGAAGACUUUUAGAAUUGGAUUGACAGAGAGGUUUUAUCUCCAUCAAAGCAUUCUGGGCUUUCCUAAAAAAUAAAAUGCAUUUAUUUCUUCCCAGUGCUGUGCUGUGGGCUGGGUGCCAGCCAUUGCUGCAUUCAGGCUGCAGUGGGGCCACCUGCACCCAGACCCCAAAGCCACCAGCAUGAGAUCCUGAGCUGGAAUAAAACACGUAGCCUCUUGCUCAUGGAAA
Long non-coding RNA from Lagopus leucura (white-tailed ptarmigan), 963 nucleotides. RefSeq lists it as uncharacterized. The transcript is spliced from 2 exons. Lineage: Eukaryota; Metazoa; Chordata; Aves; Galliformes; Phasianidae. The record is from RefSeq and is a predicted model, not a curated record.